CUGCUGACUAUGGUGUCUAUAUAUUUUAUCUACAGGUAUCCUGCUGACUAUGGUGUCUAUAUAUUUUAUCUACAGGUAUCCUGCUGACUAUGGUGUCUAUAUAUUUUAUCUACAGGUAUCCUGCUGACUAUGGUGUCUAUAUAUUUUAUCUACAGGUAUCCUGCUGACUGGUGUCUAUAUAUUUUAUCUACAGGUAUCCUACUGACUAUGGUGUCUAUAUAUUUUAUCUACAGGUAUCCUGCUAACUAUGGUGUCUAUAUAUUUUAUCUACAGGUAUCCUGCUAACUAUGGUGUCUAUAUAUUUUAUCUACAGGUAUCCUGCUGACUAUGGUGUCUAUAUAUUUUAUCUACAGGUAUCCUGCUGACUAUGGUGUCUAUAUAUUUUAUCUACAGGUAUCCUGCUGACUAUGGUGUCUAUAUAUUUUAUCUACAGGUAUCCUGCUGACUAUGGUGUCUAUAUAUUUUAUCUACAGGUAUCCUGCUGACUAUGGUGUCUAUAUAUUUUAUCUACAGGUAUC
Molecule: long non-coding RNA, 518 nt
Organism: Oncorhynchus keta (chum salmon)
Lineage: Eukaryota; Metazoa; Chordata; Actinopteri; Salmoniformes; Salmonidae
Exons: 3
Source: RefSeq, a predicted model, not a curated record